CAUGUACAUAAUCUUUCAUUUCUACUUAAAUAUUUUUCUGGUUCUGUUGACUUCCCUUUCUUUAUUGUCAUAAAUCAUUAUACAUUUUAUUGUUUAAAGGGUUUAAUCCAGUUUUUCUCAAUUUUGUGUUCCUCAUAUCUAGCUAAUCACUAAAAAAACUAUAUGAUGAUGCUUAAUCUAUCAUUUCUUUAACCUGUAUGUUUUAUAACUUGGGUACUUUUUUCUUUUCCUAAUUAUGUUUUAUUUGUUUAAUUUAUUUAAUUGUGUUAAUAAUUAAAAAUUAUGUAAAAAAAAAAAAAAUAAACUGGAAAUCUUUAAUAUCAAUAAUCCAAAUAUUAAGGGUUUUCUGAAAGUCAAGCGUCUGGAAUGUGUUGGUUAUAUGUGGAGAGCCACCAAGGAAAGUACAUUUCGGUGAAUAAAUUAACUGAUUAGUAUCCCAGAAGACGAUUUCGGUAACUUAGGCAAGACAGAGUGAACGAAGACAUAAUAAUGUCAGACGAAACAGCAAACUUUAAGAAUGCAAUGAAAAGAAGCUGUGAAAGGCCUUGUUGAAUGGCCAGUUAAGCAAAAAAAAUUAAAUAAUAAUUAUGUAUUAGAUUAUCUACUUAUUAUGUUAUUAAUAUAAAUAUUAUGCAGUGAUGUGAAGAUAUAUACAAUAUAUGC
Molecule: non-coding RNA, 663 nt
Organism: Cinara cedri
Lineage: Eukaryota; Metazoa; Arthropoda; Insecta; Hemiptera; Aphididae
Source: the annotation of a GenBank genome assembly